UGAAAGUAUGUUGACUUGUCUACACUUGCACUUUCUUGUGUAAUAGCCUAUAUUACUGUGCAUUAAAGUGUUACAUAAAAAAUGUCCAAUUACACUAAUGCA
Gavialis gangeticus (Gharial) is the source of this 102-nucleotide long non-coding RNA. RefSeq lists it as uncharacterized. The transcript is spliced from 3 exons. Lineage: Eukaryota; Metazoa; Chordata; Crocodylia; Gavialidae. The record is from RefSeq and is a predicted model, not a curated record.